UGAGGAAUAUUGGUCAAUGGGCGAGAGCCUGAACCAGCCAAGUCGCGUGAAGGAAGACAGUCCUAAGGAUUGUAAACUUCUUUUAUACGGGAAUAACGGGCGAUACGAGUAUUGCAUUGAAUGUACCGUAAGAAUAAGCAUCGGCUAACUCCGUGCCAGCAGCCGCGGUAAUACGGAGGAUGCGAGCGUUAUCCGGAUUUAUUGGGUUUAAAGGGUGCGUAGGUUGUUCGGUAAGUCAGCGGUGAAACCUGAGCGCUCAACGUUCAGCCUGCCGUUGAAACUGCCGGGCUUGAGUUCAGUGGCGGCAGGCGGAAUUCGUGGUGUAGCGGUGAAAUGCAUAGAUAUCACGAGGAACUCCGAUUGCGAAGGCAGCUUGCCAUCCUGCGACUGACACUGAAGCACGAAGGCGUGGGUAUCAAACAGG
This 424-nucleotide ribosomal RNA is filed under the name Fusobacteriota bacterium. RNAcentral describes it as "Fusobacteria bacterium partial 16S ribosomal RNA". It matches the Rfam family "Bacterial small subunit ribosomal RNA", at positions 355 to 776 of the family's 1533-position model. The record is from RNAcentral. Lineage: Bacteria; Fusobacteriati; Fusobacteriota.